RNAcentral lists this ribosomal RNA (837 nucleotides) under uncultured bacterium. RNAcentral describes it as "bacterial SSU rRNA". It matches the Rfam family "Bacterial small subunit ribosomal RNA", at positions 21 to 906 of the family's 1533-position model. The record is from RNAcentral.
GGCUCAGAGCGAACGCUGGCGGCAGGCCUAACACAUGCAAGUCGAACGGAUCCUUCGGGAUUAGUGGCGGACGGGUGAGUAACACGUGGGAACGUGCCCUUUGGUUCGGAACAACUCAGGGAAACUUGAGCUAAUACCGGAUGUGCCCUUCGGGGGAAAGAUUUAUCGCCAUUGGAGCGGCCCGCGUCUGAUUAGCUAGUUGGUGAGGUAAAGGCUCACCAAGGCGACGAUCAGUAGCUGGUCUGAGAGGAUGAUCAGCCACAUUGGGACUGAGACACGGCCCAAACUCCUACGGGAGGCAGCAGUGGGGAAUCUUGCGCAAUGGGCGAAAGCCUGACGCAGCCAUGCCGCGUGAAUGAUGAAGGUCUUAGGAUUGUAAAAUUCUUUCACCGGGGACGAUAAUGACGGUACCCGGAGAAGAAGCCCCGGCUAACUUCGUGCCAGCAGCCGCGGUAAUACGAAGGGGGCUAGCGUUGCUCGGAAUUACUGGGCGUAAAGGGAGCGUAGGCGGACUGUUAAGUUAGAGGUGAAAGCCCAGGGCUCAACCUUGGAAUUGCCUUUGAUACUGGCAGUCUUGAGUACGGAAGAGGUAUGUGGAACUCCGAGUGUAGAGGUGAAAUUCGUAGAUAUUCGGAAGAACACCAGUGGCGAAGGCGACAUACUGGUCCGUUACUGACGCUGAGGCUCGAAAGCGUGGGGAGCAAACAGGAUUAGAUACCCUGGUAGUCCACGCCGUAAACGAUGAGUGCUAGUUGUCGGCAUGCAUGCAUGUCGGUGACGCAGCUAACGCAUUAAGCACUCCGCCUGGGGAGUACGGUCGCAAGAUUAAACUCAAAG